UUGGUUGAUNCCUGCCAGUAGUGUAUGCUUCUCCUAAAGACUAAGCCAUGCAUGCCUUCGAAUAAGAGGAAGCAAUUCUCUCUGAAUCUGCGAACGGCUCCGCAAACCAGUUGUAAACUAUAGCAAGCAAGCUCAGGGCUGGCCUUCACUGGCCGGCUCGGGGCGAUAUGGAUAACCCUGGUAAUUCUGAGGCUAAUACAAGAGUGUAAACCUUGGAGGACCGGCUUCGGCUGGGAAUCUGGGGGAUGUGCGAUUGCAGGCUUGGUAACACCGGGAAAGGGCGCACGUUCAGAUCACGCUAAAAAGGUCGGGCUCCUUCGGGGGCCUGCCCCAGUGACUCUUGCUGUGUGCUUCUGACCUAUCAACUAGACGGCAGCGUAAGGGACAUGCUAUGGUGACAACGGGUACAGAGGAUUAGGGUUCGAUCCUGGAGAGUGGGCCUGAGAGAUUGCUCAUACUUCUAAGGAAGGCAGCAGGCGCGCAACGUUCCCCUUGGGCAAUGCCCGAGGGCGUUAGGGGACAUAUGAAUGCCUGCCCAUUGGGUGGGCAAUUCAAAUGGGUCUGUUGUAAACAGGCUCUCGAGUAACAAUUAGAGGGACAAGUCA
Molecule: ribosomal RNA, 605 nt
Filed under: Lamproderma sauteri
Lineage: Eukaryota; Evosea; Eumycetozoa; Stemonitida; Stemonitidae
Description: SSU rRNA
Rfam family: Eukaryotic small subunit ribosomal RNA
Source: RNAcentral